GACGAACGCUGGCGGCGUGCUUAACACAUGCAAGUCGAACGGAAAGGCCCUGCUUUUGUGGGGUGCUCGAGUGGCGAACGGGUGAGUAACACGUGAGUAACCUGCCCUUGACUUUGGGAUAACUUCAGGAAACUGGGGCUAAUACCGGAUAGGAGCUCCUGCGGCAUGGUGGGGGUUGGAAAGUUUCGGCGGUUGGGGAUGGACUCGCGGCUUAUCAGCUUGUUGGUGGGGUAGUGGCUUACCAGGGCUUUGACGGGUAGCCGGCCUGAGAGGGUGACCGGCCACAUUGCGACUGAGAUACGGCCCAGACUCCUACGGGAGGCAGCAGUGGGGAAUAUUGCACAAUGGGCGGAAGCCUGAUGCAGCAACGCCGCGUGCGGGAUGCCGUCCUUCGGGUUGUAAACCGCUUUCGCCUGUGACGAAGCGUGAGUGACGGUAAUGGGUAAAGAAGCACCGGCUAACUACGUG
Molecule: ribosomal RNA, 468 nt
Filed under: uncultured bacterium
Lineage: Bacteria
Description: partial 16S ribosomal RNA
Rfam family: Bacterial small subunit ribosomal RNA
Source: RNAcentral